Molecule: ribosomal RNA, 795 nt
Filed under: uncultured Pelagibacteraceae bacterium
Lineage: Bacteria; Pseudomonadati; Pseudomonadota; Alphaproteobacteria; Candidatus Pelagibacterales; Candidatus Pelagibacteraceae
Description: bacterial SSU rRNA
Rfam family: Bacterial small subunit ribosomal RNA
Source: RNAcentral
ACGCCUAACACAUGCAAGUCGAACGAAGUAGCAAUACUUAGUGGCAGACGGGUGAGUAACAUGUAGGUAUCUACCCUGUGGCCUGGAAUAACACGAGGAAACUUGUGCUAAUACCGGAUAAGUCUUUACGGAGAAAGCUUUAUGCACCAUUGGAUGAGCCUGCACUUGAUUAGUUAGUUGGUAGGGUAAUGGCUUACCAAGACUUUGAUCAAUAGCUGAUUUGAGAGGAUGAUCAGCCACAUUGGGACUGAGACACGGCCCAAACUCCUACGGGAGGCAGCAGUGGGGAAUCUUGCACAAUGGAGGAAACUCUGAUGCAGCGAUGCCGCGUGAGUGAAGAAGGCCCUUGGGUUGUAAAGCUCUUUCGUCGGGGAAGAAAAUGACUGUACCCGAAUAAGAAGGUCCGGCUAACUUCGUGCCAGCAGCCGCGGUAAUACGAAGGGACCUAGCGUAGUUCGGAAUUACUGGGCUUAAAGAGUUCGUAGGUGGUUGAAAAAGUUGGUGGUGAAAUCCCAGAGCUUAACUCUGGAACUGCCAUCAAAACUUUUCAGCUAGAGUUUGAUAGAGGAAAGCAGAAUUUCUAGUGUAGAGGUGAAAUUCGUAGAUAUUAGAAAGAAUACCAAUUGCGAAGGCAGCUUUCUGGAUCAUUACUGACACUGAGGAACGAAAGCAUGGGUAGCGAAGAGGAUUAGAUACCCUCGUAGUCCAUGCCGUAAACGAUGUGUGUUAGACGUUGGAAAUUUAUUUUCAGUGUCGCAGCGAAAGCGAUAAACACACCGCCUGGGGAGUACGACC